RNAcentral lists this ribosomal RNA (509 nucleotides) under uncultured bacterium. RNAcentral describes it as "bacterial SSU rRNA". It matches the Rfam family "Bacterial small subunit ribosomal RNA", at positions 28 to 372 of the family's 1533-position model. The record is from RNAcentral.
GACGAACGCUGGCGGCGUGCCUAACACAUGCAAGUCGAACGAAGUAAGUUGCUUCACCAAGUGUUGAAUAGCUACCCCCAAGCGCAUUUGCCAAAGGGUAAGCAAAAAGUACUAUCAAUUAAAUAAAAUGGUGAAACAAAAGAAUAGCGAAGAAGAAGCAAAUGCGCUUCACGCUAAUUCCAAGUACCAACACAAAACAAAUUCAAUGUUUGGUGAAGCAACUUGCUUAGUGGCGGACGGGUGAGUAACGCGUGAACAAUCUGCCCCGUACAAAGGGAUAGCCUCGGGAAACCGGGAUUAAAACCAUAUGACACUUAACUGCCGCAUGGUAGUGAAGUCAAAUCGAUUAAGAGGUAUGGGAUGAGUUCGCGUCUGAUUAGCUAGUUGGUGAGGUAAGGGCUCACCAAGGCGACGAUCAGUAGCCGGCCUGAGAGGGUGAACGGCCACACUGGAACUGAGACACGGUCCAGACUCCUACGGGAGGCAGCAGGUGGGGAAUAUUGCACAAU